GACGAACGCUGGCGGCGUGCCUAAUACAUGCAAGUUGAGCGAUGAAGAUUGGUGCUUGCACCAAUUUGAAGAGCAGCGAACGGGUGAGUAACGCGUGGGGAAUCUGCCUUUGAGCGGGGGACAACAUUUGGAAACGAAUGCUAAUACCGCAUAACAACUUUAAACAUAAGUUUUAAGUUUGAAAGAUGCAAUUGCAUCACUCAAAGAUGAUCCCGCGUUGUAUUAGCUAGUUGGUGAGGUAAAGGCUCACCAAGGCGAUGAUACAUAGCCGACCUGAGAGGGUGAUCGGCCACAUUGGGACUGAGACACGGCCCAAACUCCUACGGGAGGCAGCAGUAGGGAAGCUUCGGCAAUGGACGAAAGUCUGACCGAGCAACGCCGCGUGAGUGAAGAAGGUUUUCGGAUCGUAAAACUCGGUUGGUAGAGAAGAACGUUGGUGAGAGUGGAAAGCUCAUCAAGUGACGGUAACUACACAGAAAGGGACGGCUAACUACGUG
Molecule: ribosomal RNA, 497 nt
Filed under: uncultured bacterium
Lineage: Bacteria
Description: partial 16S ribosomal RNA
Rfam family: Bacterial small subunit ribosomal RNA
Source: RNAcentral